UAUCAGAUAAUAGCAAUUGCUCUUUGUCUUUUAGGAUUGGACAUUUGCCGUUGGUGGUGAUUUCUUGUGGAUUUCAAGGUCCAUGUUAUGCACUUGAUCGCAAUUCUGAAAAGGAAGCGUCAUAUAGUCAUUUUGCACUGGGAUCUUCAAAUUACCUUCGUGGUCCUGCCAAGAGGAAAAAUUGUCUCUAGAGAUACUCGGCUGAGUUACAGAGGUUCUCCAAGGCUGAGUGACUGUGGUUUCCACUGUAAGAUCUGAUCUACAGAGAAGAGCAAUUAUGAAGCUCUUUAAGGAUGCUGGGGAUCCCCUCACAAAUUUAUUUCUCAAAGUAUCAGUGAAAGGUGUGUCUUCUGGACCCUCCCAGUGAGUUUAAUUCAAAACAGGACUAAUGUCUGUGAAAUAGCCAACAUAGAAACCAGCUGGGAACCUAACUGGCAUCACAAGUUCCACUCAGAUUAACAUUUCAAAAAUGACACCAUAUGGUGGAGAGCUUUGGGUUUUAUGACAAAGAAACAGAACGAAUGCUGGACAUCGCAAACCCGCCUAGACUGUGUUGUCGUGCACUGGAGUGAAAGGUGUGUACGCUGGAACGACACAACCGUCACCUGCUUCCUUAGCUCCAGGAGCAAGCUGUUUCUCCACAGUAUUUUAGCAGAUAUCUUUGUCAUUUUAUGGAGAGCUAGAUGCCUUCUGAUUUCAAUGUGU
RNAcentral lists this long non-coding RNA (705 nucleotides) under Equus caballus (horse). RNAcentral's name for it is "lncRNA (ENSECAG00000046708.1)". Lineage: Eukaryota; Metazoa; Chordata; Mammalia; Perissodactyla; Equidae. The record is from RNAcentral.